Molecule: ribosomal RNA, 525 nt
Filed under: uncultured Pseudomonadota bacterium
Lineage: Bacteria; Pseudomonadati; Pseudomonadota
Description: bacterial SSU rRNA
Rfam family: Bacterial small subunit ribosomal RNA
Source: RNAcentral
UGGGGAAUUUUGCGCAAUGGGGGAAACCCUGACGCAGCAACGCCGCGUGAGUGAUGAAGGCUUUCGGGUCGUAAAGCUCUGUCAGAGGGGAAGAAAUGGAAACGGUUAAUACCCGUUUUCCUUGACGGUACCCUCAAAGGAAGCACCGGCUAACUCCGUGCCAGCAGCCGCGGUAAUACGGAGGGUGCAAGCGUUGUUCGGAUUUAUUGGGCGUAAAGCGCGUGUAGGCGGUUUCUUAAGUCUGAUGUGAAAGCCCUGGGCUCAACCCAGGAAGUGCAUUGGAUACUGGGAAACUUGAAUACGGGAGAGGGUAGUGGAAUUCCUAGUGUAGGAGUGAAAUCCGUAGAUAUUAGGAGGAACACCGGUGGCGAAGGCGGCUACCUGGACCGAUAUUGACGCUGAGACGCGAAAGCGUGGGGAGCAAACAGGAUUAGAUACCCUGGUAGUCCACGCCGUAAACGAUGAGAACUAGGUGUUGCGGGUAUUGACCCCUGCAGUGCCGCAGCUAACGCAUUAAGUUCUCCG